CGUAGGUGGCUAGCGUUGUCCGGAUUUACUGGGCGUAAAGAGCGCGCAGGCGGUCGUUCAAGUCGAGUGUGAAAGCCCCCGGCUCAACUGGGGAGGGUCACUCGAUACUGAUCGACUCGAAGGCAGGAGAGGGAAGCGGAAUUCCCGGUGUAGUGGUGAAAUGCGUAGAUAUCGGGAGGAACACCAGUGGCGAAGGCGGCUUUCUGGCCUGUUCUUGACGCUGAGGCGCGAAAGCUAGGGUAGCAAACGGGAUUAGAUACCCCGGUAGUCCUAGCCGUAAACGAUGGACACUAGGUGUUGGUGGUAUCAACCCCGCCAGUGCCGAAGCUAACGCAUUAAGUGUCCCGCCUGGGGAGUACGGCCGCAAGGCUA
This 372-nucleotide ribosomal RNA is filed under the name uncultured organism. RNAcentral's name for it is "bacterial SSU rRNA". It matches the Rfam family "Bacterial small subunit ribosomal RNA", at positions 526 to 896 of the family's 1533-position model. The record is from RNAcentral.